This is an RNA transcript of Populus trichocarpa (black cottonwood), 3153 nucleotides long. RefSeq lists it as uncharacterized. Lineage: Eukaryota; Viridiplantae; Streptophyta; Magnoliopsida; Malpighiales; Salicaceae. The record is from RefSeq and is a predicted model, not a curated record. The transcript has 8 exons.
UCAAACGUAUCAUCUCGUAGAAAUCAUCCUCAACAAAAAGCACACAGUUGAUAAAGCGUACGACAUCGUUCAGGCACCUGCAUCUUCGCUCUCAGAUUAAUCUUCUUUCCGUUUUUGACCCUAUCCAGAAUUUAAAAUACCAAUCCUACCAUCAUUCUUCUCGUCGAAAAUCAAAUGUCACUUCCCACACACAAAUAAAAUCCAAAUCCAUUCACGUACUAAAUAAAAGAUCUCAAACCCUAAUUCACUAGGGUUUUUAUAAUUACAAUAUUUUUUGAUAUCUUCAUCUUUAAAUCAAAUCUAAUCCUCUUAUCCAUUGUAAUUACUGGAUUAAAUCUACCUGUAUAUACGCAUGAAACCCUAAACUCGCCAAAUUGCAAGCCAUUUUGGAUCUGCGAUUCUGAUUCUGAUUCUGAUUUUUUCUUCAAUGGCGGAUCAAGAAGAAGAGGAGUUGAGAGUGGCUCUAAGAAUGAGCAUGCAAAACUCGCCUCCUGAACCUAAGCGAAGCAAGCCGAGAGACGCUGGAGCUCCUGCGGCGUCACCAGAGGAAUCGAGGCGGAUGCAACGAGAGCUCAUGGCAGCGGCCGCUGAGAAGCGGAUGAUCGCGACGAGAAUUGCCUCCCCUUCUCCUUCGUUGUCGCAUUCGCCUUCUCCUUCUCCUUCACCUUCACCUUCACCUUCACCUUCACCUUCGAAAGCAACAAUUGAUAGAAAUCCUGGUAAAAGUGCGGACUGUGUUAGAAAGGAGGUGAAUUUUGGUGCGAAGGAGGGGAAUUCGGGACUGGAAUUAUCGAGUGAGGAAGUUAAUCAGUUGUUUUCGAUGGUGUUUGGGAGCGGAGUUUCGAAGGACAUUCUUGCUCAGUGGAGUAACCAGGGCAUAAGGUUUAGUCCUGAUCCAGAAACAUCUAUGGGCCUAGUGCAGCAUGAAGGCGGGCCCUGUGGCGUCUUAGCAACUAUACAAGCAUUUGUUCUCAAAUACCUUCUUUUCUUUCCGAAUGAAAUAGGCAAAGUUACAUCAAAUGCGCCACAAAAUUUAGGCCCUGGAAGAUUGUCUAAAGGCCAAUAUGUUGCAUCGGAUAAUUUUGGUUCUCUCACUGAAGAUGCAAAAGCAAGAGCCCUGGUCAAAAGCAUGGGCGAGAUAUUGUUUAUGUGUGGGGAUAAUAAAAGAGCUGUGAUUGCCACUUUGAAUGUUGUUGGCCUUGACACCAAGGGCUUUGCAAAGAACGAGAUUGUUGCAAAAGCACUUGAGGGUCUUUCAAUUGAAUCUGCCUUUGAUUUGCAAAAAAUUCUAAGAAUCGAAACACAUACAUCACAAGCAAGUGCAUUGCAGAAGCUCCAUAAGGCACUUCCUGUUUUCCAAUCUCGUAUGGGGGCACUACUGUUCCUUAUUUCUGCAUUACUGUCCCGGGGAUUGGACUCCAUUCAAUCUGACAGGGACGAUCCCAGCCUUCCCCUAGUCACUGCACCUUUUGGGCAUGCUUCACAGGAAAUUGUGAACCUUUUGCUCUGUGGACAGGCUGUCCCUAAUGUAUUUGACGGUAGGAUGGACUUGGGUGGAGGCAUGUUUCUAAAGGGCAUAUUCACGAGUGUGGAAGUUGGAUUUCUCACUCUACUAGAAUCCCUCAAUUUUUGUAAGGUUGGCCAGCAUCUAAAAUGCCCUAAAUGGCCAAUAUGGGUUGUAGGAAGUGAAUCCCAUUAUACAGUUCUAUUUGCUCUCGACACCACUGUUCAAGAUGAGAAUGAGCUGGAAGAAAGGGAAUCACAGAUCCGGAGGGCAUUUGAUGCACAAGAUCAGAGUGGCGGCGGUGGCUUUAUCAGUGUUGAAGGUUUCCAUCAAGUCCUUAGGGAAGCAGGAAUUAGACUUCCAUCCGAGAAACUUGAUCACCUUUGCAGCACUGGCUUUAUUGUAUGGAGUGAGUUCUGGCAGGUUAUUUUGGACUUGGACAAAAGUUUGGGAGGCCUUAAGGAUUCAAGUGGGUUAAUGGGUAAGAAGGUGUUUGAUCUUUACCAUUUUAAUGGGAUUGCAAAAUCUGAUUUAAAUGGAAGCCACACAACCUCUGGGGGUGAAACACCAGUUCAGAGACCUAGGCUCACAAAAUUGAGGGUUUCAGUUCCACCAAGGUGGACUCCCGAGGAAUUCAUGGCAGAUGUGGUAGUGACUUCUGGGCCUGUUGGGAACGAAUCAAGUGGUAAAGACACUGAGGUGACAAAACCUGAGCCUUCCCAGCAUGCACCACUGGUGGACUGUAUUAGAACACGCUGGUCGCGUGCAGUUUGCAAUUGGGUGGGGGAUCCGCCUAGUAUAGUGUGAAUGUUUACCCUUUUUGUGAUCCUUUAGCGUGCUCCUGUCGGUGAAAACACAGAUGGCAUAUAAUCCAAGAACAAUCACAAAAAAAAUUCAGGAGAGUUUUAUAGUUGUUGAUGAUGAGUGGGAGUCAUGGGCUUAAUGUUGUUUUACUCAACAAGUUAAAGAGAAGUUUUGGGUUCCCAGAUGAUUAUUUGAUUAGGAUUUUGCCUAAAUACACUGAUAUGUUUAUGCUUGUUAAUCAUAGCGGGAGAAGGAGAUCAAUGGGGAUUGAUUAGGAUUUUGCCUAAAUACACCGAUCAUCUUCAUAAAACUACCUUCUCCCUUGUUCCCAGUGUGGGAUUGGGGCGUUCAAAAUACCAGCAGAAGAGAAUGCUUUAUCAAUGCUUGCAUCUUAGGAGAACGUGCGUGUGCUCUAGUUCCAUGCCCAGGUGGGGACUUGCGUAGGAUCAACUAUCAAGUGAGAAUAAUCUCCUGGUUAGUGAAGCAUCAGCAACAAGAAGAGCAAAAAUAUAUCAGAAAAUGAAUACUUGACUGUCUCUUUGUGUUUUCUUCAGUUUCAUAUUCAUCUACUAUCUCAGAAUCCUGUUACAAAGUUAAAGGAGAGUUACCAUAAAAAAAGAAAAAAUAAGGAAAAAUUGAAGGAGAAUUAUUAGAGUCAUGAUGGGAAGUGCAAGUAUGCUUUAUGAGCUACUGAGUGCACAGAAAAACCAUUCUUUGAGGUAGGUUGUAUUAACCAAGUAAAUUGAUUGGAGCUUCAAUGCUUAAAAUGAAGAAACCAGGGAUCCUCAUAGCUUCCUUGUAAUGAUAAGAUUACGGAAUAUAUCUGUCCCAGGUAUGUUUCCCAG